Molecule: long non-coding RNA, 1049 nt
Filed under: Carica papaya (papaya)
Lineage: Eukaryota; Viridiplantae; Streptophyta; Magnoliopsida; Brassicales; Caricaceae
Description: long non-coding RNA (CPAP_LNC000079)
Source: RNAcentral
GGAGAUUCAAAUUUUUCAUCGAUUGCGAAUUUGUCUAUUUCUAACAUUCUGUAAACUUAUUAAGCUUAUUAAUUAAUUUCAUCACAACUAGUUUCAAGGUCUCAUUAGAUGCUCUGUCAUGGUGUAAAUAGGAAACACCAAAGAAGAAUAGCCCAAAGAGGUUAUAGUAAAAUGAAAAAGGGGGAAAUGCCAACAAACCUAUAAUUGCUUAAAGUAAUAAAAGCAAUGAGUUGCGGAAAAAUGCAAAAUAAAACUCAAGAUUUUCUUUUAAGGAUAAAGGUAAGGCUAAGAAAAGGUAGUUACAAUGCACGAUUUUUAGUUGUAUGGUGAAGAAACAAAUUUGCCUAAUCAAUUGAAAGAUAAAUCUAGUCUUAAGUGGAAACUCUAACCUUUAUGACGCUACUUCAAGAUCAAUCUGUCUCAAACUUUCCCAUAAAAUUGCAGAAGCUAUGACCAAAGUUUAGCAAGAAAAUGGCUCAAAAAUCUCCCCAAACUGGUAGCUUGCAGAGACAACUCGGCUUAAGAGGUGACUUAUAAUUUCAAAUACAGUAACCGGAACGUAAAAUCCACACGUCUUUCUUGUGAUUUUUAAUGGUCAGGUUUCCAGCCAUGGGUUCCUCUUAUAGAUUCUGGUUCAAAGAUUGAUUCUCGUCGAUAUUACCGGGAAUGAUGGAUUUUGGCACGGCAACCAUAUAGGCAACUUUAAGCAGCGAUUGCAGCAGUUUUCUGCAAAGUUAGAGGUUGAGACUUUGGUGGGUACGCUGGUUGGUUGCCUCUGGUGUUGAUGGCAGUGGUAGUAAUGCCCACCUCCAAGCAGUGGCCGCUAAAUGGUUGUAGCUGAUGGCCUCUGUCUAGAAUACAGUCACUACUGCGCUUAGCUUCAGUUUUACAGUUUGAAAGGCUACUGUUUUGGCAGUAGGUUGUGAAGUUUGGACAAAUAUUAUAGUACCGCAAUAAAUCAAAGUUAGACUCUGAUUCCAAUUGAUGUAGGACAACAAAAAAACUUCUAACAUAAUACUUAAAAAAAAUUUAUUAAGAAUCAAAAUUGG